Molecule: non-coding RNA, 325 nt
Organism: Cinara cedri
Lineage: Eukaryota; Metazoa; Arthropoda; Insecta; Hemiptera; Aphididae
Source: the annotation of a GenBank genome assembly
GUUUUUAACCGAUCUUAUAGUCUACUUUAUAUUCAUCCGAUAAGUUCUUUCAUGUGAUCGUUUCCCGAAUAUGUUUAUAAUCUUGGCGAUUUUUUUUUUAUCUAAUUGUCUCUAUACAUGUCUGACCUACUCUAACCGGUUGACGCAUGAUAUAUUUUUGAUAUUUUGUUUAUUGCAUUUUGUUGUUGUUAUUGUAUUUAUAUUUAUUAGCUUUCCCACAUCAAUAUAUUUCUUAUUUCAUACUUGCGUUCCUGUUAUAGUUUAGUAGUUGCGUUUCUAGUGUUCGGAACGUUUACCAAAAAAAUGAAUUCGUUCACGUUCGUGU